Molecule: microRNA precursor, 93 nt
Filed under: Pelobates cultripes (western spadefoot toad)
Lineage: Eukaryota; Metazoa; Chordata; Amphibia; Anura; Pelobatidae
Source: RNAcentral
CCCCAGAUGUUGCUGAACUACAACUCCCAUGAUUCUUUCAAUGAAACAGAUAGUCGGGGAAUCAUGGGAAUUGUAGUUCAGCAACAUCUGGGG